RNAcentral lists this transfer RNA (75 nucleotides) under Streptomyces gilvosporeus. RNAcentral's name for it is "tRNA-Pro". It matches the Rfam family "tRNA". From Rfam's summary of the family: Transfer RNA (tRNA) molecules are approximately 80 nucleotides in length. The record is from RNAcentral. Lineage: Bacteria; Bacillati; Actinomycetota; Actinomycetes; Kitasatosporales; Streptomycetaceae.
CGACGUGUAGCUCAGUAGCAGAGCACCGGGCUCGGGACCCGGAGGGCGCAGGGGCGGAACCUGCCACGUCGGCUA